Molecule: ribosomal RNA, 929 nt
Filed under: uncultured bacterium
Lineage: Bacteria
Description: bacterial SSU rRNA
Rfam family: Bacterial small subunit ribosomal RNA
Source: RNAcentral
GCAGUCGAGCGCUGCGAUUAAGAACUUGGUCUUAUGGGUGGCGAGGGGGAGAGGGGAGUAGAAUAUGGGUAACCCGCCCUUUUCACUGGGAUUACUCCAGGAAACCUGGGCCAAUACCGGAUAACAAUUUGAAGGUGAAGGUUCGGAAUUGAAAGGCCUUGUCCGCUGUCAUGUACCGAUGGACCCGCAUCUCAUUGGCGGGUUGGUGGCGUACCGGCGCACCAAGGCAACGAUGCGUAGCCAACCUGAUAGGGUGAUCUGCCACUCUGGGACUGACACAACGCCCACACUCCGACGGGAUGCGGCAUUAUGGAAUCUUCCCCCAUGCACGAACCUCCGACAGAGCAACGCCGCGUAAGGGAUUAAGGCUUUCGGGUCCUAUAACUCUGUUGUAAAGGAAGAACGCUUGCACCUUGAAGAAACUGGCGCCCUGACGGAACCUACCCAGAAAACCUCCGCGAACUACGUGCCAGCAACCCCAGUGAUACAUACGUGGCACGCAUUUUCCGGAAUUAUUGCGCGUAUAGCUCGCCCUUGUGGUUUCUUAUGUCUGAUGUGAGCUCCCACUGCUCACCCGUGUAGGGUCAUUGCAACCUGGGAGACUUAAAUGCAAAAGAGGAUCGUGGAAUUCCAUGUGUAUGCGUGAAAUGCGUGAGAUAUGGAGGAGCACCAGUGGCGAACGCGACUUUCUGGUCUGUAGCUGACACUGAGCGUCGAAAGCGUGGGGAACUAAACAUGCACUAGAUACCCUGGUACUCCACGCCGUAAACGAUGAGUGCUAUGUGUUAUAGGGUUUCCGCCCUUUAGCUGCUGAAGUUAACUCAUCAACCACUCCAGCCCGGGUCAGUACGGCCGAAACUGCUAAGACUCGACGGAGUGACGGGGGCCCGCAGAAGCAGGUGGAUCUAUGUGGUUUAAAUCGAAACAAC